AUUAAUAACUCCAUUGAAUUUUAUUAAUCUCUUUUGUGGUGGCACAAAAUCGGAAGCCCCGACUGUUUACUAAAAACACAGCUAUCUGCAACGAUGUAAAUCAUAGUAUAGGUAGUGAGGUUUGCCCGAUGCCAUUAAUAUAAGAGAAGUGAUGGGUAACUGUUAAUUAUCGAAAAUCUGGUUAAUAGCGGUCUUAACUAUGAGGAUCCUAAGGUAGCAAAAUAAAUUGGCCAUUAAAUGUGGUCCGGUAUCAAUAAUUUAACGAUGGCUUCACUGUCUCUACAACUUGCUCAGUGAAAUUGAAUUACCCGUGCAGAUGCGGGUUG
RNAcentral lists this ribosomal RNA (326 nucleotides) under Suillus lakei. RNAcentral's name for it is "LSU rRNA". It matches the Rfam family "Bacterial large subunit ribosomal RNA", at positions 1741 to 2068 of the family's 2925-position model. Lineage: Eukaryota; Fungi; Basidiomycota; Agaricomycetes; Boletales; Suillaceae. The record is from RNAcentral.